This 7572-nucleotide long non-coding RNA is filed under the name Brassica napus (rape). RNAcentral's name for it is "long non-coding RNA (BNAP_LNC007154)". Lineage: Eukaryota; Viridiplantae; Streptophyta; Magnoliopsida; Brassicales; Brassicaceae. The record is from RNAcentral.
AAAAAUGCAGUGGUGGCCAAGGAAAGAUUGCGACAAAAUUGAUCAUAAACCAAUACUUUGAGCCAUAUCCUCCAUUUAAUCUACCGCCGCUUUCUUGGUACAUCCGAGGGAACACCAUCAAAACCUCCAAAAAUUUGCUCAAUGCACUUCAGGACACGGCUAAGAUUAUACGAAGUACGAAAGGUUGAGUUGAGCUGCCCGAAGAAUAUGCCAGAUUGAGACGUCAAAUGAGACUUUCUUAGUUUUAUAUUUUAUUAGUGUUUAUAAACAAAAUAUAGAUGAAGUUUUUAUAGUUAAAAUAAAAUUUGUUAGUAAUUUUCAGUUAUAACACUUUUUUGAAAAAGUCAGUUAUAAUACUUUCAGGACAUUAUGUUUGAAUUUGAAAACUUCUUUAAAAGAUCGUACAUUCGUAUGUAUUCAAACACAAUUAGUGAUAAUUUGUUUAUCUAGCUAAAGAUUUUUCGACGAAUAAUAAGACAAAAAAUAUAAAGUUUAUUGAAAUCCUUAAUUUUUGAAAAAUAGAAAAUUGUCAUCAAACAUACAAAAAUUGUUUAUCACGUAUUAUUGACUAUAGGUAACCGCAGCUGAUUUUUUUUUUUAACUGAGAUUACUUAAAAUUAUUUACAAUCUAACAUGUCGCCAGAAAGAUUAAUAAGUGUGUUGGAUUUGUUAUCAGUUGAUACAACAAUAGUUCAAAUUUGAUUACAUAAGUUUAUUGAAUAAUUGUGGAAGAACAAAAUACAAGAAAAUAUAUAUUUUAUUGUUUUAAAUUUAAUGUCCUUUAUAACCGUUGAUGAGAUUGGAUUAUUUGAAAAAAAUAUAUGUUUAAUAAUUCUAGAAAAAAAUAUAUAAAAAGGUAUAGUUUGUAAAUUCCCUUAGGUAAUGUAAACCGAUAGAUCGACACUAACGAACUACGGAAUAAACCUACGUGAAGACAUGAAAGAAACAAACAUGGAAAACACUAGUUUUUUUUUCAAAAAAAAAACACUAGUUUUGUUCAGUGAACAUCCACAAAUAAACUAUUCUUAAACACAUGAAUGAAAAUUACGGGCUUAAUUAUUAAUCGACUUUUAAAAUGUGUCUGGUCCAUUAAUAUUCCAAAAUUUUAAAAGGGACGCUAAAGAUAUUUUUUGAAAAAUGUUAAAUUAUCAUUAAAAAGAGAAUUUUCUACAACUUUUUUUUUAUAAUGCUCUAUCGACUGAUCCGGUCAGCUUUCAGAAAAACGUACUUUAUACUAUAUAUCUAUCACACCAUAUGAUCUAAGUUUGAAGUACUUUUCGACUAAAGUCAAAGAGGGACCGAUCAUCUGUUACAGCCAACCAUAUUAAUCACUUGGAUUCAAAAUUAAAUUAGUUCUGAGAGGAAUCGAGCUCAUGGUACACACUUGUGUGAUCUCAUUUCUCAAAUUGUGUGACUCUGUUCCCGUGUGACUUUGUUUCUCAACUUGUGUGAUUCUAUUUCUCUACUCGUGUCUAUUCCCGCAAAUCUUCUACUUCAACCAUAUUUAAUGAUCGAAAUACGGUUACGGACGCCUUUGUCAAUGAACAUUAGGAGAGUUGCACAGUUCUUAUUACUAUUCUUUUUGUUCCAUUUACUUUAGUUCGACGUUACCGGGUCGGGUUGGGUUGGAUCGAAGAAUCCAAAAAAUAACAUUUGAAAUCUCCGGUGUCAAACCCAGGAAUCAAGGAAGGAAGAACUAAAAUUUUGUAAGCUUUGGCGAUUUGUAAAAUUUUAGGUUUAUAUAAAAAGAAAUGUGGAUCAUAUAUUUUUGGGUUUUAAAUGAAAAAACCUUUCAUUUAAAUAAAAUGCAAGAAUAAAAAAUUUCACCUGGGUCGGAUCGAAGAAUCUAAAAAAUAUCAUUUGAAACUCGGGUCAGAUUGUGCGGUAACCGGGAAUCAGGGAAGGAGUGACAUUCACAAUAAAUAAUAUCAAAGGAGGGAGGGCACAGGAGACGUGCCUACGCUCACUCACAGUAAUUGCCACACCCUAACUUCUCUGUCAAGUCAGGUUUAGAAAAUCUCUGCUUUAAUCUCUCUGUUCAUCUCUAUGCUCUGCUAUGUAACUUAUCAGAGCCGGGCCUGGAUACAAGCCCAUCAAGCAUUUGCUUGGGGGCCGAUCAGUAUUUAAAAUAACUUGGGGCCAAUUUUUCAAUUGCUUAGGCAGCAGAGAUGGUGAAGUUUCUGAUAUUUGAGUUAAACUGAUUUGCGUCCCGGAUUCGAAGGGCGACUAUUGCGUUUUUUGUACCAUAUUUUAAUACGAAAAUAAAACUGACUUUUUUAUUUUUUCCAAAAAUAAAACUUUACUUAUAAAAAAAGGAAAUUUUAUACAAUAAAUGAGAGUUUUCUCUCUUCUUAGGCCUCCACAUCAUCAAGAAGGAGAGAACAAUUAAGGACACGUGUCCAUCUUUUAUUUCCGCAAGCCAGUUUUCUUGACUUCAAUUUGGGCCAUUUAUGUUUCUGUAGAAAUGACAAGGCCCAAUCUCUCAUUUGACCAAAAAAGUCCUAACACGUCUCCUUCACUUUGUUUGUUCGUUUCGAUCUGAGGAACCCUGUCUGUUUCGAUUCCUUUCCCCAGCUGAGAAAUGGCAAUCGUUAUGGAAUUGGAACCUCAAUACCCACUAAUCUGGUUAUGGUCAAGAAAGGUGGAGCGUCGAUGGGUAGUGAUCUGGUCCUGGCUUGAUGGAAAGGUACUGAGACAUUUCCUUUUCUCAAUUAUCGAUCCCUAUAUUGCUAUCCCAUUAUCCCGUUCUUUUUUUUUUUUUUGCGCAACUCCUUCCUUUUUCUAUGAUCAUACUUCUUUCUCAGUGUUUAUAUUGUUGAUUUUGCUAGAGAUUUCGAUGUCAUGUUGUUGUGGAGCUCUAUUUCUCUGAGCUUAAGGCUAGCCGUUGUAGGAAGGUUGUGGUGACGAGGCUUCUUAUGUUUUUGGAAACUUGAAUUAUUAAGAAAUUCUGUUCUCGGAAGCUGGAAAUAAUAAGAGAUUGGAGAGUUGAUGGGCGUGGAUCUGCUAAUGGUCAAUCGAAAGGUAAUUAUUCUUACUGUCUACUUCGAUUUAAAAACCUAUACACUUUCUGGAUUAUUCUUCUUACAAGUGUUCUUAUUUGGCCGCAGUCAACAAAGCAACAUAGCUUCUGCUCAGGCUCUGAGCCACCGAUACCAUCGCUAUGUACAUCAUGUACCUUAUGGCCGUCACGACCCUUCGGUAUUUGAACUGAAAUACUGAUGAUAUGGGUCAGAUGUACGAGCUAUACUUCGAGCUUACUAUUCAGCUUCAUGCAAUUUGAUGGGGUUAGUUCUUUCUUUUCUUUUGUGUGUAUUCACAUGCCGAUCCUGAAGCUGGAUUUAAAUCUCUAGAUCAGAUUUAAAUUUCUAUGUCUUAACUAAGAAAGUUCUAUUUGGAAAAAUUCAUGAUUUUGUAAAUACCAUGCUUUCUGAAAUUUUGUUACUAUUUAUUAGCUCCUAGACUCUCCUUAUACCAUUACAUAAACGAUGCGAUGAUGUGUGUACGCCCAUGUGUUUUCGGUUUUCUCUUUCGGAUUCUCAAUGAUGAUUCAUGAAGAUUACGCGUGACUUCAAAUAUGUGUUUUUUGAAUUGGUAAUUAUUGUGAAAACCUUUGGUCGGAACAUGAAUUUAUGAAUUUUGUUGCGUUCUAUUAGCUCUUUGACUCGCUCUCUAUAGCAUCCCAUAAAUGAUGAGAUGAUGUGUGUUUACACUCCCCUAUGUUCUUGAUGCUCUCUUUUUGAUUCCCGAUGGAUAGUUCAUCAAGAUAUAUGUGUUUGAUUUCAUGUAUAUGUUUAUAGGAUUGCAACAUUUAGAUUGCCACUGAUGGGAACAUGAAAGUAUAAUAUUUUUAGUAGCGUUAUAUUAGCUCUUUGACUAUACUUUUCAGAUGCAAUACUUACUGUUGUGGAUCAGUGUGGAGAAGCAGACUCUUAUUUCUCAAAUCUGCUAAACUUUUUCCCAACGUACCUGUAAGUAUUAUUUCCCCGCAUACUCUACUAUCAAUUUGUUUUUUCUUCUUAAACUUGAUCAGCUUAGUUGAUGACAACCAACAAUCUGUCUGGCCCUUUUAUCUAGGAUUGUUCGGCCUUGAAUCUGCUUGCAUCAAAAGCCUUUGACCUUCCUCAUCCUACCAAGGGCCGAUCAUCUUCGCAGGUAUCUUAUUUACGCGUUACUGCUCUCCGAUGAGGCGAUGACCAUACAGCACACUGGAAACAAAAAUAUCAAGCCUCUAAAUGUGUCCCAAAUCUCACUACCGGCCUACCCUCUACAGAUAUAGCACGGUAUUCAACUGUACUGCUCUCAACUCUCUUAAUUUGUGCUUACAGUCAUCUUUCAUGGUUUUGAUCUUUGGUUAUAGACUCAAGUCGGAGCGUCUUAGAGACCAUGGAGAAGAAGGAACAAAUGCAGUUUCUUAUGAACCUGCUGCAGACAAGACAAGACACCAAGGAGAAACGCUUCGUUGAACCCCUUUUGAUAUGCAAGAGCCCGCACAAUACUCACUCAUUUCUGUUUUCAAUGAUUAUUCCAAUAGAGGAGAAACAAUUAACACAAAACGUGUGUUGGUUGUUUAGUCUUCAUGCGAGAUAUUCAUGUGAAAUACUAGCUUCUCUUUCACUUUUUUGGUGCGACGAGUAUGCUGUGAUUAAAUUAUUUGAUUGUGUUGAUUACUUGAUUUUGUUGAGCAUGAAAUUUACUUGCAUAAUUGUAAUAUGAUGCUUGAUUUGUCGUGAUUCCUUUUCUUUUCUGUAAGGUAGCCAAUAGGAAAAUUCAAAACCUCAAUCUUUAAGACAAUGACCACUGUCGGGCAUGUAAUAUUUGUUACAAAUUUUCCAACAAUCAAGGUUGCACCAAAACAAGUCCAGGUGGCCACAAAUUUUGAAAACCAAAAAUUAAAUACCAUUCAUCUCUUUUUAUUUUUAUUAUGUUUAUUUUACUCCAAGUUAGAUUGCAGCUUAGAUUUUAUCGGUCUUUAGACAAGGAACAUGGCUGGAUAUAUGCGAAGUAAUUGUGUGAAUAUAUCAAAUGAUCUUAUAUAAUAACUGACCAAUUUGGCUACUAUACUUUCUAAACUAAAUUAUUUAAUUAUUGAACAAUUUCCAAAAUAUAAAAGUUAAAAACAUCAUAUAUGCUACCAAUAUAAUAAAACAAUAUCACAAAAUAACAAAAGAAUAAAAACAAAUAUAAUUACUAACACAAAUCAUUCUAUUAAAUAAUUUAAAAUAAUAACAAUAAUAGAAAAUCCGGCGCGUAGCGCCGGCCAACCCCUAGUAUAGCAUAAAAAGGAAAUAAGAUAAUGAUCACGAUUAAUUAUAUAAAUUCCUAAAAAAAAAUCAGUUUUCAAAACCUAAUCGUUUGUUUUUUUUUGGUAAACAUGUUAAGAUUGCAUUACCAAUUUUUUGAGUUUGAGACAGACGGUACAAAGAGAUACUAGUAGCGGAAAAUACAAACACCGAAAUGAAACUACUAACACAACAACAAAAAACAGUAAUGAAAAACACGAUUGAGAACCGAAACCGAAAGGCAGAGGAGAGAACACUCGAGAGAACUUGAGAGGGUCGCCAAGAGCACGCAAAACCUAAUCGUUUGUUUUCUAACUAUUCUCUUAAUUCUCAAUUAACAAAGUCACGAAGUCUUUUGUUUUGCCUACAGGCUACAGGCUACGAACCAUUGUCCAUUGGUAAAGCUUUGGUUGAUUAUACAUACUUGAUAGAUGAGUUUGCAAGUAAAACUGCAAGAAGAGCUAUAUUUCAAAAAUAAUGUAAUAUUAUGUUUGUUUUUUGAUAUUGUUUGACAUUAUUAUUUUAAGUUAUUUUUACAUUGAGUUGCAGGGCCAAUUUUUUUUUAGGACAACAGGGGCCAAUUUUUUUCCUUCGCUUCUAGUCUUGUAAAUGUCAGGCACGGCCCUGUAACUUAUGCUUGAAAAUGUGGAUGGGUUAUUAUAAGCACAAGAUCCUAGUAAAGGUUACUCUGGUCCCGGUGGUUCAACUUUCAUCUAUGGUCAUCACAUGAAAUCUAGUGAAUCUGCUAUCAUCCGUAUGUAAAGCCUCUUGAGAAAGUAACCCUAAUAAAUUACGUAUUGUUGAUUCAAGGACUGUACUUAAAAAGGAACAUGCUUUUUGAUGGGUCUCCUCUUUCCUCAGAAAGGUCUCGCUUGUACGUCAUGUAAUUCAUGAGAGUUGAGCUGCCAUGCAUAAAACUUAACGUACACUAUUCUCUCAAGAUGCAGAAUAUACUAUUCCACAAACCAUAUAAUAUACACAAGCUUUAGAUCGUCAUUUACUUUUGCUCUAAUCAGUUCUGCUAGGCUAAACUUUCGAACAGAAAAUGGGUGUAUUCCCUGGAUUUGGUAGCUGGAUCAAUCAGAACAGUCAACAGCCUCUUAAGGUCAGCCUUAUAUCACCAAUCAUAGGAGCUGAUCGAUGAAGCCAAAUAAAUAUAAAACACAUUUUUAUUGUUUGUUCAUGUAGGCCGAGUCCAAGAGAUCUGAAAAUGGCGAAUCUAAGUCGGCGUCAGAGAAAGACACUAAUAAUGCUCCUGCUAAGAAGAAGGAGGAGGUGGUAUAUUAUGAUGAAAAAGAGGACACGAGACAAGAAGGACUUUGGCAUGAAGCAGAGAAGAAGCAUCCAUGGCAUAAUCCACCUCCCAAGAUCAAGGUAAGAAAAAAACCACUCUAACACAAUACAAUACCCAAAAAAAAAUUGCCUUGGUAAAAUCAAUAACAAGAUCCUUAAGUUUUCUUAUAUUUUUGAUCUUUGAAGGUGACAAAUAAGAAGGGUCUUUACCAUAUGAACAUAGAAUUGACCGUGGGAACGACUCCUAAUAUUGUCUACUACGUGUUGACUGAAAGCAAUCCGUUUUUCGAUAGGAAGAAGUGGCGCCACCUAAUGGUUGUCUUUGCUGAUCAUUAUAUGAUUCGAAUGUGGUAUUAAAUAUAGUCAAUACUUGAUAUGUUUAUCUUUUUGUUAUCAAGAAAAACACAUCAAGAAAGGUUUUGAAGGAGAAUGGUCCGAGGCGGAUCGUCAUGGUAGAGAAAGCUGUGGCUUAUGACUUCCUUUCGCUGACGACUAUAUCUAUCCCGAUACACCUUACUAUGGAAGAAAACAGAAAAGAUCUUACGGUAACAAGCUUUCUCUCACAAGAAUCAACAACACCUUUGUGUUUGUAUUGAUGAAACCUAACUAAUUCAGCUUAUUGGACAGACAAAAUAUAAGAAAGAGAAAGUAUUGUUCAUGAAAGAGUUCCACGGCAACUAUAAAGUGGAGCCUAUAUAUGUAGAUCAAGAACGGUUGUGCAAAAAGAGGCUACCAAAGAGUCCAGAAGAAUAUAAAAAAUGUAGCGGUGGCCAAGGAAGGAUUGGGUCAAAAUUAACAAUAAACCAUUACUUCCAACCAUAUCCUCCAUUUAGUCUACCUCCGCUUUCUUGGUUCAUCCGUGGGAUCACCAUCAAAACCUCCAAAAAAUUGCUCAACUUGCUUCAGGACAUGGCUUUUUCUUUACGACAAGCAGGGCCACCCUCAGAAUAAGCCAUCAAAGCGAGAGGAAACGAUGUUGUUGAACUACAUAAUUUUUAGA